Molecule: unclassified non-coding RNA, 429 nt
Filed under: soil metagenome
Description: partial contains 5.8S ribosomal RNA, internal transcribed spacer 2, and large subunit ribosomal RNA
Rfam family: 5.8S ribosomal RNA (bases 1-120)
Source: RNAcentral
GAUGAAGAACGUAGCGAAAUGCGAUACGUAAUGUGAAUUGCAGAAUUCAGUGAAUCAUCGAAUCUUUGAACGCAUAUUGCGCUCUCUGGUAUUCCGGAGAGCAUGCUUGUUUGAGUAUCAGUAAACACCUCAACUCCCUUUUCUUUUUUGAAAUUGGAGCUGGACUUGAGUGAUCCCAACGCUUUCUUCCAAGAAAGUGGCGGGUUGCUUGAAAUGCAGGUGCAGCUGAACUUUUCUCUGAGCUAUAAGCAUAUCUAUUUAGUCUGCCUAAAAAACAGAUUAUUACCUUUGCUGCAGCUAACAUAAAGGAGACUAGUUCUUGUGCUGACUGAUGCAGGAUUCACAGAGACAGCUUCGGCUGACUUUGUAAACUCGAUCUCAAAUCAAGUAAGACUACCCGCUGAACUUAAGCAUAUCAAUAAGCGGAGG